GUUCGGUAAGCGAGAUGUGAAAGCCCCCGGGCUUAACCUGGGAAACGGCAUUUCGAACUGUCAGACUAGAGUGUGGUAGAGGGUAGUGGAAUUUCCUGUGUAGCGGUGAAAUGCGUAGAUAUAGGAAGGAACACCAGUGGCGAAGGCGGCUACCUGGACCAACACUGACACUGAGGUGCGAAAGCGUGGGGAGCAAACAGGAUUAGAUACCCUGGUAGUCCACGCCGUAAACGAUGUCAACUAGCCGUUGGGACUCUUGAAGUCUUAGUGGCGCAGCUAACGCACUAAGUUGACCGCCUGGGGAGUACGGCCGCAAGGUUAAAACUCAAAUGAAUUGACGGGGGCCCGCACAAGCGGUGGAGCAUGUGGUUUAAUUCGACGCAACGCGAAGAACCUUACCUGGCCUUGACAUCCAGAGAACUUUCCAGAGAUGGAUUGGUGCCUUCGGGAACUCUGAGACAGGUGCUGCAUGGCCGUCGUCAGCUCGUGUCGUGAGAUGUUGGGUUAAGUCCCGUAACGAGCGCAACCCCUAUCCUUGGUUGCUAGCAGGUAAAGCUGAGAACUCCAGGGAGACUGCCGGUGACAAACCGGAGGAAGGUGGGGAUGACGUCAGGUCAUCAUGGCCCUUACGGCCAGGGCUACACACGUGCUACAAUGGCGCGUACAGAGGGCUGCCAACUCGCGAGAGUGAGCCAAUCCCUUAAAACGCGUCGUAGUCCGGAUCGGAGUCUGCAACUCGACUCCGUGAAGUCGGAAUCGCUAGUAAUCGGAUAUCAGCCAUGAUCCGGUGAAUACGUUCCCGGGCCUUGUACACACCGCCGU
Molecule: ribosomal RNA, 822 nt
Filed under: uncultured bacterium
Lineage: Bacteria
Description: bacterial SSU rRNA
Rfam family: Bacterial small subunit ribosomal RNA
Source: RNAcentral